This 608-nucleotide ribosomal RNA is filed under the name Amphinema aff. byssoides UC2023213. RNAcentral describes it as "eukaryotic LSU rRNA". The stretch from base 226 to 380 matches the Rfam family "5.8S ribosomal RNA". The record is from RNAcentral. Lineage: Eukaryota; Fungi; Basidiomycota; Agaricomycetes; Atheliales; Atheliaceae.
AGGAAGUAAAAGUCGUAACAAGGUUUCCGUAGGUGAACCUGCGGAAGGAUCAUUAUCGAAUUAUAAGCGAGGGUUGUAGCUGGCCUCCCUUUCGAGGCAUGUGCACGCCUGAGCUCUUAAAUCCACAACACACCUGUGAACCCACCGUAGGCCUUCGGGCUUAUGUAUCAUAUACUCUGAAUGUGUCAUAGAAUGUUCAUGUUGCCUUAAAACGCAAUCAAAUACAACUUUCAACAACGGAUCUCUUGGCUCUCGCAUCGAUGAAGAACGCAGCGAAAUGCGAUAAGUAAUGUGAAUUGCAGAUUUUCAGUGAAUCAUCGAAUCUUUGAACGCACCUUGCGCUCCUUGGUAUUCCGAGGAGCAUGCCUGUUUGAGUGUCAUUAAAUCCUCAACCCCACCGAUUUGCUUCGGGGGGAUUGGACUUGGAGCGUGCUGGCGAAGGUCGGCUCCUCUUUAAAUGCAUCAGCGGAGAAGAAAGCUCGUCCCAGUGUGAUAAUCCUGUUGCGCUGUGGUGGGGUGAAAAUUCCGCUUCCAACCGUCCUCCGGGACAAGACAUCUCAAUUUGACCUCAAAUCAGGUAGGACUACCCGCUGAACUUAAGCAUAUCA